GCUCCUAGUACGAGAGGACCGGAGUGGACGCAUCACUGGUGUUCGGGUUGUCAUGCCAAUGGCACUGCCCGGUAGCUAAAUGCGGAAGAGAUAAGUGCUGAAAGCAUCUAAGCACGAAACUUGCCCCGAGAUGAGUUCUCCCUGAGACUUAGAGUCUCCUGAAGGAACGUUGAAGACGACGACGUUGAUAGGCCGGGUGUGUAAGCGCAGCGAUGCGUUGAGCUAACCGGUACUAAUGAACCGUGAGGCUUAACCUUACAACGCCGAAG
Molecule: ribosomal RNA, 269 nt
Filed under: Salmonella enterica
Lineage: Bacteria; Pseudomonadati; Pseudomonadota; Gammaproteobacteria; Enterobacterales; Enterobacteriaceae
Also listed under: 1 other name
Description: partial 23S ribosomal RNA
Rfam family: Bacterial large subunit ribosomal RNA
Source: RNAcentral